CCUGAAACAACAUUCUAAUGGGAAAAAGCCCUCUGUCCAGUUCACACCUGGGUCCUAGAAACAUUCAGUGUAUAAUGCUGAACCCUUCUUGUAUGCAUGUCACCUUCUGCUUUCUAGGUGCUGCUAAGGAUCCUUCUCUCGCAUUGAGCAAGAGGCAGAAGUGGAAAAGCUUGGUUACUGCCUGGUAGUCAAUCAAAAAUGUUGUCUUAUGGGGAUGUUUUGUUUAAAAUGUCACCAAGGACACUGAGGAGUUAAAUGUAAGUUUCUGCAUCACACUUUGAUGCUUCCUCUCUACUCUUAGUCUCCUUGGUAACACAAUCAGGAAGAUGUUCUCCUUUUGUUCUCUUGCCUUGGUCUUGGUAGAGAUCUUGUUGUGGUCCAUUUCAUGCCUAUGUUUUUUUCCCUCAGUGGUGGGAGGUUUGGUUUGGCGUCUGUUGUCAGUCUUUGAUGUUGAGAACAAGGAGGAAGAUGAAGAAAUGUCUCAUGUAUAAGCAGCAUCCAUUAAUUUGAGUUAAGGGGGAAUGAGAGAGUCCCUUCCGCUGCCCCUUUUCCCCCUCAUCAACCCUUCUCCUUGCCUGGCUGACCUGUGGGAUUGCAGAAGUAUAUCACCUUGUUCUUUCUGGUAGGAGGGGUCUUUGGGAUCUCGACAAUCUCUUCUCACAUAUGCAAACACAUCUGCCAAUGAAAUGUUGAGAAAAAGACUGAGAACGUCUGUUUUUGUUUGUUGGAUGUCUUUAAUGGAAACAAACGAAUCCUUUUAUGCAGCUGAAGCUUACAGACAUUGAGAACUACUCCUUGAAUUACUGUCUUUAAAUCCAUGCUGUCCUCUUAUCCCAUUGGCUCUCGCCUCUAUUCAGUAGAUCACCUAAUAGGCAUCUGAGCAAUGACACGUCUUCUGAUCUUGUUGACACAGUAGGUUUGGGGCAUAUUAAUGAAACAUUUUCAUCAUUUCUAAGACCUUAAUAUGUUAGCAGUAUGGCCAUCUCCAUGAGGGGGUGGGUUACAGUAAGUACAAAGAGUAGGCAGGUAAGUGUUCUAAUCUUGUAUUCGUCUGAUGCUGGAUUAUGUGUUUUGAUUUGUUUGAUCUAUUUCUGCAUAUACGGCACAAAGCUGGCAACUACUGCAAAUGGCACCCUGUUUUUUUCACUUCUCUUGGUACUCGGGACUGUCUGGGUUUUUUUCUCCAACUGCCCACCCUUCCCCCACCCCCUCACCCACCCUGGAACUGUCAUAUGAUGCCUGAUUUACUAGAGUGCUGGCUAUAAAUAUCAUUUUAGCUCACCCAGUUUUAAUGAUUGUGUUGAUCUAUAAAACAUUGUGUUCUGCAUAUUCUACCAGAAAAUGACAUCAUUUGGUGAAGUCUUGAAUGUUUCACCCCUGUUUGUGCAAUAGAUUGUCUUACCUUGUUUUUUUUUUCAGUUUGGGGGAAUAAAGACUUGUGGGUAACGAUAAACCUGAUCUUUCUAGCUGUAUAUCCUUAACCUGGAAUAAAACUUGCUUUAUUCUCACAAA
Molecule: long non-coding RNA, 1512 nt
Organism: Bombina bombina (fire-bellied toad)
Lineage: Eukaryota; Metazoa; Chordata; Amphibia; Anura; Bombinatoridae
Exons: 2
Source: RefSeq, a predicted model, not a curated record